GGAGAGACGGACUAGAAGGCUGACGAGAGUGGCGGAGAGGGCAUUUUCCGUGAGCAGGACGAGUUCGUCAUCCGCGCAGAGGACAUCCUUUCCCUCAAGGACACAAACCUGUAACAGAACUGCAGACAUCAAGCAUGGCUUCAAGCAUUCAGGGUUGCUUUGAAGACUAACCAGCAACACAGUUUGACAAGCCAUCGUCAAACUGCCUGGGGCAAUGUAACGUAACAAUGAGUAAUAUGGAUGAAGCACUUACUGUGAGCUGCCUUUUCUCCUUAAUCCUCAUUACAAAUCUAUGGCUACAGCAUUGGAUUAAAAGUCACACCCUGAAGCAUUAACGCUUGAGCAUCUGUACCAAGUUUUAUAUCCUUGGUAUAAGCCCGAAGGAGGUGAGGAGCCAGUUACCUGGGCAUCAGUUCCAUCUGGCAAAGGACUGUGGGUAAUGGAAGCAUUUCUGCAGGGUGGCAGCAGGGUGUGUGUGCAGCAAGGCAUGUCAUCAGUGGUGAGUGAGAAGUUCAUUCCUUUUUAUGGCCGAAUAAUAGCCAAUGCACAUUGACAGCCUCCUACCUCUAGCAUCAGUCCCUAAUUUUCUGCUGUGGGUUUUCUCUGGCC
This is a long non-coding RNA of Homo sapiens (human), 609 nucleotides long. RefSeq lists it as uncharacterized. The record is from RefSeq and is a predicted model, not a curated record. The transcript is spliced from 4 exons. Lineage: Eukaryota; Metazoa; Chordata; Mammalia; Primates; Hominidae.